CCUACGGGAGGCAGCAGUGGGGAAUUUUGGACAAUGGGCGCAAGCCUGAUCCAGCAAUGCCGCGUGAGUGAAGAAGGCCUUCGGGUUGUAAAGCUCUUUUGUCAGGGAAGAAACGGUUGGGGCUAAUAUCCUCGGCUAAUGACGGUACCUGAAGAAUAAGCACCGGCUAACUACGUGCCAGCAGCCGCGGUAAUACGUAGGGUGCAAGCGUUAAUCGGAAUUACUGGGCGUAAAGCGUGCGCAGGCGGUUUUGUAAGUCUGUCGUGAAAGCCCCGGGCUUAACCUGGGAAUUGCGAUGGAGACUGCAAGGCUUGAAUCUGGCAGAGGGGGGUAGAAUUCCACGUGUAGCAGUGAAAUGCGUAGAGAUGUGGAGGAACACCGAUGGCGAAGGCAGCCCCCUGGGUCAAGAUUGACGCUCAUGCACGAAAGCGUGGGGAGCAAACAGGAUUAGAUACCCUGGUAGUCCACGCCCUAAACGAUGUCUACUAGUUGUCGGGUCUUAAUUGACUUGGUAACGCAGCUAACGCGUGAAGUAGACCGCCUGGGGAGUACGGUCGCAAGAUUAAAACUCAAAGGAAUUGACGG
Molecule: ribosomal RNA, 585 nt
Filed under: uncultured bacterium
Lineage: Bacteria
Description: bacterial SSU rRNA
Rfam family: Bacterial small subunit ribosomal RNA
Source: RNAcentral